UAAACUACGAUUAGAUACCCUAUUAUCCCGAUCGUUAAACAGAACACCAGAGUAGUAAUAGAUAUGAUCUUGAAACUCAAAGAAUUUGGCGGUGUUUUAGUCCAAUCAGAGGAACCUGUCCCUUAAUCGAUAAUCCCCGUUUUACUUUACUAAAAUUAGUUUUCAGCUUGUAUACCGCCGUCAAAAGAAUAUUUCUAGAGAAAAUGUUCAAGAAAUUCCAUUGAAUAAUAUGUCAGGUCAAGGUGCAGUUUAUGUUUUAGAGGAGGUGGGUUACAUUGAAAUUAUUCAAACGAAUUCUUUAUUGCAAGAUAAAGUUGAAGGUGGAUUUGAGGGUAAUAAAAUCGAGAAUACAUUUAUGAUAAAGGCUCUAAAACAUGCACACAUCGCCCGUCGCUCUUAAAA
RNAcentral lists this ribosomal RNA (402 nucleotides) under Rallidens mcfarlanei. Its description in RNAcentral is "partial 12S ribosomal RNA". It matches the Rfam family "Bacterial small subunit ribosomal RNA", at positions 768 to 1408 of the family's 1533-position model. Lineage: Eukaryota; Metazoa; Arthropoda; Insecta; Ephemeroptera; Rallidentidae. The record is from RNAcentral.